This 898-nucleotide long non-coding RNA is filed under the name Monodelphis domestica (gray short-tailed opossum). Its description in RNAcentral is "lncRNA (ENSMODG00000036963.1)". Lineage: Eukaryota; Metazoa; Chordata; Mammalia; Didelphimorphia; Didelphidae. The record is from RNAcentral.
GCUCUGAGUAGGUCCAUUCCAAAAACCUUUACUAUAUCUUUAUUAGCUUGUGAAUAAAAGUAUUAAUAUUGAAAUCCUCUUAAUCAAUAUCAGGAGCAUCAUUUUUUUUUUCAGAUGAGGAAAUUGAGUGUCAGGAAGUUUAAGUGACUUCUCAGUGGUGACACAAUUAAGAAUUUUCUAGAUCAAAUUUUUAGGCUGACAAGACUGACUUAAUGAUUUCUCUGUACCAAAGUAGAGAAAUGAUAAAGAGAAUGGAGUUUGGAAAUACCUGCCUCAUAAAGACUCAGCUUCAAUGAUCUGAGUAAUGAAGAAUAAAGUCCUCAUUAAAUUUUCAGAUCAUAUCCAGCUGGGGGCAAAUGGUAGCUAGCAGCUGGGAAAAUAGAACUAACAUUCCAAAUUAUAUAAUAUGGGAGAAAUGGUCUAAGCCAAGCAGAAUAAAAUUCAGAUAUGGCCUAUACAAUAAAGGAAGAAUCUGGGACACUAUAUUGGGAACAAACAGAAAUUAAACCAAUCUGGGCUCAUUUCCCAGAAAAGCAAUCACACACAAUACACAUAACUGAGAGAAAAGGAGAGGAAAAAAAAGAAAGAAAAUGUCUGAAAAAAGGACAGUUGAAGAGGGUAAAAAGGACUAAAAACCUAUUUCUUUAUAAAGAGAGAGACAAUUAUGAUUGCCUACGUGUUGCUGGCUCAGUUUGAGACUUUAUCUAAAGACUUCAGGUAAGACAUCUUUAAAUAUCACAUUUAAUGAGACGAAAGUCCAAAGUGGAAAGCAAAGAUUUCAUUUUGGUGACAGAAGUGUUUGCAAUCAAACCUUACUUUAGGAACUAAAGCAUAUUUUUCACACAAUUCCUUGUGGUGACAAAAUAUGAACAAGAGAAUAAACAAGUAGCUUGCAUCA